Molecule: ribosomal RNA, 206 nt
Filed under: uncultured bacterium
Lineage: Bacteria
Description: partial 16S ribosomal RNA
Rfam family: Bacterial small subunit ribosomal RNA
Source: RNAcentral
CGCGUAGGCGGGAUGGCAAGUCGGUCGUGAAAUCCCUCGGCUCAACCGAGGAACGUCGAUCGAUACUGCUGUUCUUGAGGAUUGCAGAGGAGACUGGAAUUCCCGGUGUAGCGGUGAAAUGUGUAGAGAUCGGGAGGAACACCGGUGGCGGAGGCGGGUCUCUGGGCAAUUCCUGACGCUGAGGCGCGAAAGCGUGGGAGCAAACG